Tachysurus fulvidraco (yellow catfish) is the source of this 588-nucleotide long non-coding RNA. RefSeq lists it as uncharacterized. Lineage: Eukaryota; Metazoa; Chordata; Actinopteri; Siluriformes; Bagridae. The transcript is spliced from 3 exons. The record is from RefSeq and is a predicted model, not a curated record.
UACUUUUAAUAAAAACAAGGCCUCCCAUUAUGAGGACCCUGAACAGACAAGAAGUCUGACUCCUUCAUUUAAAGAUUCAAGCAAUAGAUUAAGUAGAAGAACUUGAAGAGGAUCCUUUGUUAGAAGACUGAGGGACUUCGAUGGACACCUGUGUUCAAGAAAACAAUCAAACCAGGAUCCUGAUUAAAUGGCAUCCUGUGGCGCACCGAGUCUAGAGCUGUAGCUGAAUUCUGAUUGGUCCAUCUCUGGAAAACCCUGUUCUGUGGCAGCAUAUAGAAAUGAAAUGAAACAUGGAGGAAACAGAGCAGCACAGUGACAUCACCAGGAAAAGGACAAAAUCAUAGCAGGGAGGCUGCUGAGAGACCUACAGCAACAUUAAAGGAGCUACAGGAAGAUCUCACACCUACUGAUUCCUCUCAGAAUGUGAUAGCAGCCUCUCUCAUUCUUCACAUGUCUGAGCUAACAGUCUUCUUCUUCUUUGGUCUUUUCCUGUUAGGGGUCACCACUCCUGACACUCUUCUGUCACACACACACAACACUCCUGACACUCUUCUGUCACACACACACAACACUCCUGACACUCUUCUG